GCCUGGAAAUUUUAGUUGCUGCUGGUGUUCUGCAGGGGAAGAAAUGUACUGGAUACCCAGGGAUUAAGGCUCGUG
Non-coding RNA from Prunus avium (sweet cherry), 75 nucleotides. Lineage: Eukaryota; Viridiplantae; Streptophyta; Magnoliopsida; Rosales; Rosaceae. The record is from RefSeq and is a predicted model, not a curated record.